GAUGAACGCUAGCUACAGGCUUAACACAUGCAAGUCGAGGGGAAACGGCAUCGAAAGCUUGCUUUUGAUGGGCGUCGACCGGCGCACGGGUGAGUAACGCGUAUCCAACCUGCCCAUCACUUGGGAAUAACCUUGCGAAAGUAAGACUAAUGCCCAAUGACAUCCCACGAGGGCAUCCGAAUGGGAUUAAAGAUUUAUCGGUGAUGGAUGGGGAUGCGUCUGAUUAGCUUGUUGGCGGGGUGACGGCCCACCAAGGCAACGAUCAGUAGGGGUUCUGAGAGGAAGGUCCCCCACAUUGGAACUGAGACACGGUCCAAACUCCUACGGGAGGCAGCAGUGAGGAAUAUUGGUCAAUGGGCGAGAGCCUGAACCAGCCAAGUAGCGUGCAGGAUGACGGCCCUAUGGGUUGUAAACUGCUUUUAUAAGGGAAUAAAGUGGGUCACGUGUGACUUUUUGCAUGUACCUUAUGAAUAAGGACCGGCUAAUUCCGUG
Molecule: ribosomal RNA, 492 nt
Filed under: uncultured bacterium
Lineage: Bacteria
Description: partial 16S ribosomal RNA
Rfam family: Bacterial small subunit ribosomal RNA
Source: RNAcentral